UUUAAUGGGGCGCUGACACAUGAGUAAUGUUAGCCUCUCUCUUCCAUUCUCUCUCUCUUCACAGACCUUCCUCUCUCUCUUCACGGACCUACCUCUCUCUAUGUUCAGCAGUAGCGAUGAACACGAUGCAGCAGUAGCGAUGGCAGUGAUGCAGCAGCCAUUGAAGCCCCUGGGCUUGGGCAUCACCUCUCUCUUUAUCAGUCAUUGAAGCCCUCUCAGCCCACAAAGAGGAUGUACACCUCUCUCUCUGUAGCUGCAACAGCAGCGCAUCCCUUUCUCUCUGUCUAUAUGCAGCCAUUGAAGCCCUUGAGUUUGGGCAUCUCUCUCUUAUUAGUAACUAUUGCAGCCCUUUUAGCCUACACAGAAAUAGAAGCCCUCUCGUCCCUCACCAUCAGCAACUAUUGAAGUCCUCUCGCUCGUUCAGAAAAACCCUACCUAGCCUCCCAAUUGUGGCACACCCCAUCUCUAAAGUGCUAAGGACAAAACACGUAAUAAGCUUCGGACCCAUAAGAAGGCAGCAGAUGUGAGUUGAUGGCAAAGAGGACAAAUUCAUAUGGAACAACUUCAAAGGAGGGGCUAUGUUGCUUCUUUUUUUAAAAAAAAAAAAAUUUGUUGUUAAACUAUUGGCAUUCUUGAUGUAGGUUUUAAGCCAUUCACUCAAAAAAAAGAUAUCGGUUAUAUGGCAUUGUACUCUUUUCACUUCUUUUUGGGUUGUUAGGUGAUAUGUAAGGUGAUUGGGUACAAGGAACGAACUAUUAUUUGAUAAUGGGCAGGACUACUGAACUUUAUAUGAACAAUUUUGUUAUUGAAUGGACUACCCCAUUUGGCUGGUAGUUGAUGAAUUGUAUGUAACAUUAUAGUUAUCAAAUGCAAUGUAUUAUCACAAU
Molecule: long non-coding RNA, 887 nt
Organism: Amborella trichopoda
Lineage: Eukaryota; Viridiplantae; Streptophyta; Magnoliopsida; Amborellales; Amborellaceae
Source: RefSeq, a predicted model, not a curated record